AAUAGAUACCCAGGUAGUCCACGCCGUAAACGAUGAGUGCUAAGUGUUGGGGGUUUCCGCCCCUCAGUGCUGCAGCUAACGCAUUAAGCACUCCGCCUGGGGAGUACGGCCGCAAGGCUGAAACUCAAAGGAAUUGACGGGGGCCCGCACAAGCGGUGGAGCAUGUGGUUUAAUUCGAAGCAACGCGAAGAACCUUACCAGGUCUUGACAUCCCGCUGCCCGGUAUAGAGAUAUAUCUUUCCCUUCGGGGACAGCGGUGACAGGUGGUGCAUGGUUGUCGUCAGCUCGUGUCGUGAGAUGUUGGGUUAAGUCCCGCAACGAGCGCAACCCUUGAUCUUAGUUGCCAGCAUUUUAGUUGGGCACUCUAAGGUGACUGCCGGUGACAAACCGGAGGAAGGUGGGGAUGACGUCAAAUCAUCAUGCCCCUUAUGACCUGGGCUACACACGUGCUACAAUGGAUGGUACAAAGGGCUGCAAGACCGCGAGGUUUAGCCAAUCCCAUAAAACCAUUCUCAGUUCGGAUUGCAGG
RNAcentral lists this ribosomal RNA (529 nucleotides) under uncultured bacterium. Its description in RNAcentral is "bacterial SSU rRNA". It matches the Rfam family "Bacterial small subunit ribosomal RNA", at positions 777 to 1304 of the family's 1533-position model. The record is from RNAcentral.